Molecule: transfer RNA, 64 nt
Filed under: Polydora hoplura
Lineage: Eukaryota; Metazoa; Annelida; Polychaeta; Spionida; Spionidae
Description: tRNA-Lys
Source: RNAcentral
UACUCAGAAGCUAUGCAACAGCAGUGGAUUUUUAACCCGCCCAGAGAUUUUACUAAUCCUGAGU